AGCCCCGGCAGACGUUAGUCUGCCCUUUCAGAUUUGCAAUCUGAUGUGCUGAACACCUCGAGGCU
Molecule: transfer RNA, 65 nt
Filed under: Neoplecostomus paranensis
Lineage: Eukaryota; Metazoa; Chordata; Actinopteri; Siluriformes; Loricariidae
Description: tRNA-Cys
Source: RNAcentral